RNAcentral lists this small nuclear RNA (192 nucleotides) under Diabrotica virgifera virgifera (western corn rootworm). Its description in RNAcentral is "U2 spliceosomal RNA". It matches the Rfam family "U2 spliceosomal RNA". From Rfam's summary of the family: U2 is a small nuclear RNA (snRNA) component of the spliceosome (involved in pre-mRNA splicing). Complementary binding between U2 snRNA (in an area lying towards the 5' end but 3' to hairpin I) and the branchpoint sequence (BPS) of the intron results the bulging out of an unpaired adenosine, on the BPS, which initiates a nucleophilic attack at the intronic 5' splice site, thus starting the first of two transesterification reactions that mediate splicing. Lineage: Eukaryota; Metazoa; Arthropoda; Insecta; Coleoptera; Chrysomelidae. The record is from Rfam by way of RNAcentral.
AUCGCUUCUCGGCCUCUGGCUAAGAUCAAAGUGUAGUAUCUGUUCUUAUCAGCUUAAUAUCUGAUACGCCCCGCAUGCGGGGCCAGUAUAUUAAACUGAUUUUUGGAAAUAGAUGGAAGGUUAAGGGGCUUGCUCCACUUCUAUCACGGGUUGGCCCGGUAUUGCAGUACCGCCGGGAUCGGCCCACAACAA